UGUAAGCGUAUACCAAAGUUGUUGCAGUUAAAACGCUCGUAGUCGGAAUUUGGCAGUUCCGGAUGUGUGCACGUCGUGUGCGCACUUCGCGGGGAUUGCUUUUGUGGCCUUGCGUAGGAUGAGGCACUUUUAUUAGUGAACGUCCUCACGCAACCACUUUUUACUGUGAGAAAAUCAGAGUGCUCAAAGCAGGCAUUUGCCGUGAAUGUAUUAGCAUGGAAUAAUAGAAUAGGACUUGGUUCUAUUUUGUUGGUUUGUUGGGACUGAGUAAUGAUUAAGAGGGACAGUUGGGGGCAUUUGUAUUUCGGUGCUAGAGGUGAAAUUCUUAGAUUACCGAAAGACAAACUGCUGCGAAAGCGUCUGCCAAGGAUGUUUUCAUUGA
This 382-nucleotide ribosomal RNA is filed under the name uncultured eukaryote. Its description in RNAcentral is "partial 18S ribosomal RNA". It matches the Rfam family "Eukaryotic small subunit ribosomal RNA", at positions 592 to 976 of the family's 1831-position model. The record is from RNAcentral.